GGGGAUAUAGCUCAGUGGUAGAGCAUUCGACUGUAGAUCGAGAGGUGCCCCCGGUUCGAACCCGGGUGUCCCCU
This 74-nucleotide transfer RNA is filed under the name Octopus vulgaris (common octopus). It matches the Rfam family "tRNA". Rfam says of the family: Transfer RNA (tRNA) molecules are approximately 80 nucleotides in length. Their secondary structure includes four short double-helical elements and three loops (D, anti-codon, and T loops). RNAcentral also lists the same sequence under 1 other name. Lineage: Eukaryota; Metazoa; Mollusca; Cephalopoda; Octopoda; Octopodidae. The record is from Rfam by way of RNAcentral.